AGCAGCCGCGGUAAUUCCAGCUCCAAUAGCGUAUAUUAAAGUUGUUGCAGUUAAAAAGCUCGUAGUUGAAUUUCGGGAUCAACAUGCCGGUCGUGCCUCCGGUACGUACUGGUAUCGUUGAUUUCUACCUUCUGACGAAUCACGAUGUCAUUAAUUUGGUGUCGUGGGGAAUCAGGGCUGUUACUUUGAAAAAUUAGAGUGUUUAAAGCAGGCACACGCUUGAAUACAUUAGCAUGGAAUAAUGAAAUAGGACGUUUGACCCUAUUUUGUUGGUUUCUAGGAUCGACGUAAUGAUUAAUAGGGAUAGUUGGGGGCAUUAGUAUUCAAUUGUCAGAGGUGAAAUUCUUGGAUUUAUUGAAGACUAACUACUGCGAAAGCAUUUGCCAAGGAUGUUUUCAUUAAU
This 403-nucleotide ribosomal RNA is filed under the name uncultured Glomeromycotina. Its description in RNAcentral is "SSU rRNA". It matches the Rfam family "Eukaryotic small subunit ribosomal RNA", at positions 569 to 977 of the family's 1831-position model. The record is from RNAcentral. Lineage: Eukaryota; Fungi; Glomeromycota.